Molecule: long non-coding RNA, 201 nt
Filed under: Capsicum annuum
Lineage: Eukaryota; Viridiplantae; Streptophyta; Magnoliopsida; Solanales; Solanaceae
Description: long non-coding RNA (CANN_LNC006869)
Source: RNAcentral
UCUACAAAGCCUCUAAAAGAAACGUAUAAUUAGUUAGGGUUGGGAUAAACCCCCACCCUACUCUUAACCUUCUACACAAUACCAAAAUAGAUGAAAUAGACUUGGAAAGCCCCGAAUCAACUUGGAGCUCACCAAUAGUCACCGAAUAGCUGUGCUCCUACUAAUGAGGUGUAUGACUGAGGUACCUGUGCUUGCAGCAUG